UUCCUCCUUUCUGUUAAAAUUGUCCACAUGCUUGUGGAUUUCAGUGGCUUCUCUGUGUCGUCUGACAUAGUUGUUAGAAUGGUCCAGCAUUUCUGUGUUUUCAAAUAAUAUGCCGUGUCCAGGUUGGUUCAUCUAGUGCUUUGAUAUGGGUGACUUCUCUGGUUGAAUUAGUCUUCAGUGCCUUUCAUGUUCUUUGAUUCGUGUUUGGGUGAUGCAGCAUUUGGUGGUCCCUAUGUAGACUUGUCCACAGCUACGUGGUAUACGGUAGACUUCUACAGAGGUGAGGUGAUCCCUCUUGUCCUUUGCUGAAUGUAGCAUUUGUUGGGUUUUCUUAGUGGGUCUGUAGUUUGUAGGUUGUGUUUCUUCAUCAGCUUCCCUAUGCGGUCUGUGGUUCUCUUGAUGUAUGGUUUUUUCUUUCGACAUCCAUGGGUCCUCCGUGGGCUGAAGCCUUGUUCCUCCUUUACUAAGGAAUGGCAACGCCAUCGUUGAACCCUCCACCAGACCUCCCUUUUGCUGCCACCUUGUUCCUGCCCCUCCCUGCCAUCAUUUUCUUGGUUGUUGGCUCCUACCUACUACUCCUUGUCCUGGUUCUGGUCCUUCGUCAGUGUCUGCUGGCUAGAGGUCUUUGUGCCAAUUGCUGUUCCUGUGAAAAGCGGACUUGGCCAAACAUGUGUGAAUGUUGUAUGGCUUGUGCAGAGACAUGUAACUGUGUACUCCCCUCCCCAACCCGCUGUCUGGAUCACUGCUGUUCCUGCACUAAUGGCUGGGAGACAGGGACGUGCUCCAUUCCCCGUCUGUGUCCUCUCUGUGAUUGUGCCUGCACCUACCAGCCCCCAGACUGUCAGAACAUCAACUGCAUUUGUUUUGAGAUCAAAUUGCGUUAA
This 884-nucleotide long non-coding RNA is filed under the name Anolis carolinensis (green anole). RNAcentral's name for it is "lncRNA (ENSACAG00000040675.1)". Lineage: Eukaryota; Metazoa; Chordata; Lepidosauria; Squamata; Anolidae. The record is from RNAcentral.